GAGUGAACGGCUGGCGGCGUCGCCGUAAUACCAGUGGCAAGUCGAACGCGGAGCACUUGUGCUCGAGGUGGCGGAACGGGUAGGAGUAAUACAUAAGUAACCUGCCCUAGACAGGGGGAUAACUAUUGGAAACGAUAGCUAAGACCGCAUAGGUACGGACACUGCAUGGUGACCGUAUUAAAAGUGCCUCAAAGCACUGGUAGAGGAUGGACUUAUGGCGCAUUAGCUGGUUGGCGGGGUAACGGCCCACCAAGGCGACGAUGCGUAGCCGACCUGAGAGGGUGACCGGCCACACUGGGACUGAGACACGGCCCAG
RNAcentral lists this ribosomal RNA (316 nucleotides) under uncultured bacterium. Its description in RNAcentral is "bacterial SSU rRNA". The stretch from base 37 to 316 matches the Rfam family "Bacterial small subunit ribosomal RNA", at positions 57 to 334 of the family's 1533-position model. The record is from RNAcentral.